This 73-nucleotide transfer RNA is filed under the name Pangasianodon gigas (Mekong giant catfish). Its description in RNAcentral is "tRNA-Glu". It matches the Rfam family "tRNA". Rfam says of the family: Transfer RNA (tRNA) molecules are approximately 80 nucleotides in length. Their secondary structure includes four short double-helical elements and three loops (D, anti-codon, and T loops). Further hydrogen bonds mediate the characteristic L-shaped molecular structure. tRNAs have two regions of fundamental functional importance: the anti-codon, which is responsible for specific mRNA codon recognition, and the 3' end, to which the tRNAs corresponding amino acid is attached (by aminoacyl-tRNA synthetases). tRNAs cope with the degeneracy of the genetic code in two manners: having more than one tRNA (with a specific anti-codon) for a particular amino acid; and 'wobble' base-pairing, i.e. permitting non-standard base-pairing at the 3rd anti-codon position. The record is from RNAcentral. Lineage: Eukaryota; Metazoa; Chordata; Actinopteri; Siluriformes; Pangasiidae.
UCCCUGGAGGACUAGUGGUUAGGCCACAGCGCUCUCACCGCUGCUGAUUCGGGUUCGAUUCCCGGCCAGGGAA